GGCAGCAGUGGGGAAUCUUCGGCAAUGGAGGGAACUCUGACCGAGCAAUGCCGCGUGAAUGAAGAAGUACUUCGGUAUGUAAAGUUCUUUUAUUGGGGAAGAACGGCUAGUGGAAAAGCUAGAGUGACGGUACCCAUUGAAUAAGCCCCGGCUAACUAUGUGCCAGCAGCCGCGGUAAUACAUAGGGGGCAAGCGUUAUCCGGAAUUAUUGGGCAUAAAGGGUGCGUAGGCGGCAAGUUAAGUUUAAGGUAUAAGCUCAUGGCUCAACCAUGGGAGGCUUAGAAACUGGCUAGCUAGAGUGCAGUAGAGGCAAGUGGAAUUCCAUGUGUAGCGGUAAAAUGCGUAAAUAUAUGGAGGAACACCAGUAGCGAAGGCGGCUUGCUGGGCUGUAACUGACGCUGAGGCGCGAAAGCGUGGGGAGCAAACAGGAUUAGAUACCCUGGUAGUCCACGCCGUAAACGAUGAGUGCUAAGUGU
RNAcentral lists this ribosomal RNA (476 nucleotides) under uncultured Bacillota bacterium. RNAcentral describes it as "bacterial SSU rRNA". It matches the Rfam family "Bacterial small subunit ribosomal RNA", at positions 347 to 823 of the family's 1533-position model. The record is from RNAcentral. Lineage: Bacteria; Bacillati; Bacillota.